Molecule: small nuclear RNA, 104 nt
Filed under: Octodon degus (degu)
Lineage: Eukaryota; Metazoa; Chordata; Mammalia; Rodentia; Octodontidae
Source: RNAcentral
GUGCUUGCUUCAGCAGCACAUAUACUAAAAUUGGAAUGAUACAGAGUAGAUUAGCAUGGCCCCUGGCAAGGAUGAUACGCAUUCAUGAAGCGUUCCAUAUUUUU